GACAGAGGGUGCAAACGUUGUUCGGAAUUACUGGGCGUAAAGCGUGUGUAGGCGGCCUUGCAAGUCGGAUGUGAAAGCCCCGGGCUCAACCCGGGAAGUGCACCCGAAACUGCAAGGCUCGAGUACCGGAGAGGUUGGUGGAAUUCUCGGUGUAGAGGUGAAAUUCGUAGAUAUCGAGAGGAACACCGGUGGCGAAGGCGGCCAACUGGACGAGUACUGACGCUGAGGCGCGACAGCGUGGGGGAGCAAACAGG
RNAcentral lists this ribosomal RNA (254 nucleotides) under uncultured bacterium. RNAcentral's name for it is "partial 16S ribosomal RNA". It matches the Rfam family "Bacterial small subunit ribosomal RNA", at positions 524 to 776 of the family's 1533-position model. The record is from RNAcentral.